GUAGGUGGCAAGCGUUGUCCGGAAUUAUUGGGCGUAAAGCGCGCGCAGGCGGUCCUUUAAGUCUGAUGUGAAAGCCCACGGCUCAACCGUGGAGGGUCAUUGGAAACUGGGGGACUUGAGUACAGAAGAGGAAAGCGGAAUUCCAAGUGUAGCGGUGAAAUGCGUAGAGAUUUGGAGGAACACCAGUGGCGAAGGCGGCUUUCUGGUCUGUAACUGACGCUGAGGCGCGAAAGCGUGGGGAGCAAACAGGGAUUAGAUACCCUGGUAGUCCACGCCGUAAACGAUGAGUGCUAAGUGUUAGGGGGUUUCCCGCCCCUUAGUGCUGCAGCUAACGCAUCAAGCACUCCGCCUGGGGAGUACGGCCGCAAGGCUG
Molecule: ribosomal RNA, 373 nt
Filed under: uncultured organism
Description: partial 16S ribosomal RNA
Rfam family: Bacterial small subunit ribosomal RNA
Source: RNAcentral